GAAAUGCGAUAGGUAGUGUGAAUUGCAGAUACCGUGAAUCAUCAAAUCUUUGAACGCACAUUGCACUGUCUGGAACUCCGGGCAGUAUACCUGUUUGAGUAUCAGCUACUCCUCUCACUAUCAGUUACCUUGGUAGCCUAGUGAGGACUUGAGUCAUCAUGGACCAUCCUCGGAUAGCCUGUGCGACUUUAAAUAGCAGUACCAGCGUCCCUAGGAUCGCUGUUAUCUUGCAGAGUUGAUGGCCUUGUGCCUAAUCCUGUUAGGGUAACAGAUCGUAUACCUAGUGGUUAAACGUAGCUGGCUUACUAAACCAUACAGUGAUCAGUAGUUAACUGAUUGACUGUGACUUUGAUCUCAAAUCAGGUAAGAUUACCCGCUGAACUUAA
RNAcentral lists this unclassified non-coding RNA (386 nucleotides) under uncultured fungus. RNAcentral describes it as "sequence contains ITS1". The stretch from base 1 to 104 matches the Rfam family "5.8S ribosomal RNA", at positions 50 to 154 of the family's 154-position model. The record is from RNAcentral. Lineage: Eukaryota; Fungi.